GACGAACGCUGGCGGCGUGCCUAACACAUGCAAGUCGAGCGGGGUAGCCGGAAGGUGUAGCGAUACAGCGGAGGGGUACCUAGCGGCGAACGGGUGAGUAACGCGUGGGCAAUCUGCCCCCGGGGGCGGGAUAACAGACCGAAAGGCCUGCUAAUACCGCAUGAAGCCGUCCUAUCGCAUGAUAAGACGGUAAAAGGGGAAACCCGCCUGGGGAGGAGCCCGCGUCCCAUUAGCUAGUUGGUGGUGUAAAGGACCACCAAGGCGAUGAUGGGUAGCCGGCCUGAGAGGGUGAACGGCCACAUUGGGACUGAGACACGGCCCAGACUCCUACGGGGGGCAGCAGUGAGGGAUUUUCGGCAAUGGGCGAAAGCCUGACCGAGCGACGCCGCGUGAGCGAAGAAGGCCUUGGGUCGUAAAGCUCUGUCUAGGGGGAAGAGGAAGGACGGUACCUCUGGAGGAAGCCACGGCUAACUACGUGCCAGCAGCCGCGGUAAACGUAGCGUG
This 504-nucleotide ribosomal RNA is filed under the name uncultured bacterium. RNAcentral describes it as "bacterial SSU rRNA". It matches the Rfam family "Bacterial small subunit ribosomal RNA", at positions 28 to 533 of the family's 1533-position model. The record is from RNAcentral.